GUUGCGCCCAAAGCCAUUAGGCCGAGGGCACGUCUGCCUGGGCGUCACGCAUCGCGUCGCCACCCCUCUCCCGAGUUAGGUGCGGGGUGACGGAUGUUGGCCUCCCGUGCAACGUUUGUGGCGCGGUUGGCCUAAAUGCGAGACUCUGACUGGCUAGAGGACACGACGAGUGGUGGUUGAAUKCUUUGUCAACURGRGCGGCGUUGUCGUCYAAGAGCCACGUCGGAAAUCACGAUGUUCGUAGACCCAAGUGCCCAACAUUCGCCGUCGCGAUGACGACGAAAGGGGGCCCUCGACCGCGACCCCAGGUCAGGCGGGACUACCCGCUGAGUUUAAGCAUAUCAAUAAGCGGAGGAAAAGAAACUAACGAGGAUUCCCCUAGUAACGGCGAGCGAACCGGGAACAGCCCA
This 410-nucleotide ribosomal RNA is filed under the name Lasianthus rigidus. Its description in RNAcentral is "eukaryotic LSU rRNA". The record is from RNAcentral. Lineage: Eukaryota; Viridiplantae; Streptophyta; Magnoliopsida; Gentianales; Rubiaceae.